AAAGUCGUAACAAGGUUUCCGUAGGUGAACCUGCGGAAGGAUCAUUAGCAAAGAGAGGGAAGAGAUUUACAAAGGAGAAGAGGUAUGUGGAAAAGGAGUGAUUAUUUGAAGGAGGAUUUGAAGGAGAUUUGAAUAUUGUCGAGUCAUUUGAAGAUAUUUAAAUAUUGUCGAAUCAUUUGGAUCAUUUUGCUCUUGCUUCACAUACACAGAAAACAAAAACUAUUAUACAAUUUAAUUAUUAUUAGCAAAAAACUUUUAACAAUGGAUCUCUUGGCUCUC
RNAcentral lists this unclassified non-coding RNA (279 nucleotides) under Basidiomycota sp. Its description in RNAcentral is "partial contains small subunit ribosomal RNA, internal transcribed spacer 1, and 5.8S ribosomal RNA". The stretch from base 1 to 47 matches the Rfam family "Eukaryotic small subunit ribosomal RNA", at positions 1785 to 1831 of the family's 1831-position model. Lineage: Eukaryota; Fungi; Basidiomycota. The record is from RNAcentral.